UCAAUUCCGUAGUGCAUUGCAGUGUGUUUCAUUAUUUACUGCAAGCGCUGCGGAUUUGGCA
Molecule: microRNA precursor, 61 nt
Filed under: Drosophila melanogaster (fruit fly)
Lineage: Eukaryota; Metazoa; Arthropoda; Insecta; Diptera; Drosophilidae
Description: Dme-Mir-932_pre stem-loop
Rfam family: mir-932 microRNA precursor family
Source: RNAcentral